CCUGCCUGUGGGUUGAAGAUUUGACAAUGAUGUCCUUGGACCAGCUUUUGUUCCCUCAGAUCUGAACUGCUCCCAAGUCUGUGGAUCAAUGGAACGACACUAAAUGGCACAGAUACACCACGUCACGCAGAAUUUCAGGGGAUUUAACUUAUCUGAACAUAUCACGUGUGAAAAGGCUUUUUCCGAGCCCUGUAGAUGGGUCAGGGAUAUGGAAAUGCAAGUGGAAGAAAGUACAAGGAGGCUUUAGCAGGGACGGGGAGGGUUAUGCCACAGCAAGAAGACUCUCACCAGAUGCCAGUGCCAUGCUGUUGGACUUCCCAGCCUCCAGAACUUUCAGAGACACCCCUGCCCCCAGAUUCAUACUCCAGGCUGGGAGCCACUGGCAUAACUGACGGAUGAAAAGAAGAGAAGAAUGGACACAGAGAGAUUGGAGGUGGAGAAUGAGAGCAGGCUUGUAAGGAAUGAGAUCCAGCAUUAGAAGGGAGAGAUGUAUCUUUCCCUGUGACUUGGUUUCCCCAUUCAAGGAAGAGGAAGUAGGUGGGUACAGCAUAUAUUAGGUCAUCAGGAAAGCAGGUAAGGAAGCUUUCCUCAGAUGGCCUCAGAGUGAAUGAAUGGAUGAAUGAAAGCAAGAGGUUGUUUUAAGCAAGUAAGGGAGAAACCCGGAUGUUACAGGAAACCUAAGGAGAGAAGUUCCGGAACUGAUCUGAGGACUGAGCCAGGGAGUCCAGGAGAGCAGAGGCCAGGGGCUAGAUGGAGUGGGUGAGCAUCCAUUUCUGCUGGCCAGGCUGGUUCACCUGGGGACUUUCUUCAGAAAUUCUGUGCUGCAGGAGGAGACAGCAGAUUGAAGUGACAGCCUAGUGGGUGGAUUCUUUGAAAGCUGAGGAGGAGUGAGAAGCCUUG
This 900-nucleotide long non-coding RNA is filed under the name Homo sapiens (human). RNAcentral describes it as "HSALNT0332627". The record is from RNAcentral. Lineage: Eukaryota; Metazoa; Chordata; Mammalia; Primates; Hominidae.